CCACCAGCUUCAUGCUAUGUCUAUUUACAAUUGAGAGAUCAAAGACAGGGCGCGAGAGAGAGUGAUGGGUGCUCUGCUAGCGUCUUCCACAUCUCUCUCCCUUCGCGACGUAAUCGCAGGAAUAGUCCUCUUCCUGGUAACCCGCCUCUUUCUCUCCUACCUCCUCCGGGCGGUAUCCGGCCGCCGGCCAUUGCCUCCGGGACCGAAGGGUUGGCCCUUCAUAGGUUGCCUGCCAUUACUGGGACGCAUGCCCCAUGUCUCCCUUUUCGAGCUGGCCAAGGUGUACGGCCCCGUCAUGUACCUGAAGCUGGGCACCAGCGCCAUGGUCGUGGCCUCCAGCCCCGCUGCCGCCAAGGCUUUCCUCAAGACCCUCGACACCACCUUCACCAACAGGCCUCCCAACGCCGGCGCCACCCACAUGGCGUACAACGCGGAGGACCUCGUCUUCGCCGACUACGGGCCCAGGUGGAAGCUGCUGCGCAAGCUGAGCAACCUCCACAUGCUCGGCGGCAAGGCCCUCGACGACUGGGCCGCAGUGCGGCGGGCGGAGAUGGUGCACAUGUUCAGGACGGUGCAGGACCACGCCCGCCGGGGGGAGGCGGUGGACGUGCCGGAGCUGCUGUCUUACGGGAUCGCGAACAUGAUGGGGAUGGUGAUGCUGAGCAAGAGGGUGUUCGAGAGCGGUGGGAGCGAGUCGAGCGAGUUUAAAGUCAUGGUGGUGGAGCUGAUGACGUUGGCGGGGCUGUUCAACGUGGGGGAUUUCAUCCCCUCCAUCGCGUGGAUGGACCUGCAGGGUAUCGAGGGCGCCAUGAAGAGGGUGCACCUUAAGUGGGACGCCCUGAUCAGGAGGAUGAUAGAGGAGCACGAGGCCACGCGAGAAGAGAGAAAGGGAAAGCCCGACAUGCUCGACGCCGUGAUGCAGUAUCGAACGGACAAUGAAGUCAAAGGUGGUGGCGACGGUGAGAAGCUCACGAUGACCAACAUCAAGGCAUUAUUGCUGAACCUGUUCGCGGCAGGGACGGACACAUCUUCCAGCAUAAUAGAGUGGGCGAUGGCUGAGUUGCUCUACAGUCCGGCGAUCCUCAGGCGAGCUCAGGCGGAAAUGGACAGCGUGAUCGGCAGGGAGAGGAGACUGGAGGAAUCGGACAUACGCCGGCUCCCCUACUUCCAGGCCAUAUGCAAGGAGACCUUCAGAAAGCACCCUUCCACCCCUCUGAACCUACCCCGCGUGGCCACCCAGCCCUGUGAGGUGAACGGCUUCUACAUCCCCAAGAACACUAGGCUCAUGGUCAACAUUUGGGGCAUGGGCAGGGACCCCAACGUUUGGGACAAGCCUCUUGAGUUCAACCCGGACCGGUUCUUGACCCCGGAACUGAGCAAGAUCGAGCCCCGUGGAAACGACUUCGAGCUCAUCCCCUUCGGCGCGGGCCGGAGGAUCUGUGCCGGCACCCGAAUGGGAAUCGUGAUGGUGGAGUACAUUCUGGGCUCACUCGUGCAUGCCUUUGACUGGAAGAUGCCGGACGGCGGGAAGGUCGACAUGGCGGAGACCUUCGGAAUUGCGCUGCAGAAGGCGGUGCCGGUCAAAGCCAUGGCGACGCCGAGGUUGGCUCCUCACGUCUACGCGUGAGAUGGGCCAGCCACAGACAGUUUCCGGCUCGCCAAGGCUGCAGUGCCCAUUUGUACUUUUAAUCCGUUGCAGGUUGCAACCAUGAUUUCUAUGCAGGAACACUAUUUCGGGGAUGCAGUUUCAAAACCAAGAAUCAGAAAUGGUUGCAUCGUGACUUUGGGAAACAAAAUUUUGUCAACGAAUAGUCACAUGCGGCCCACACUAGCUUUUUAAUUUUUACAUUGGCUAUUUAAUGUUUACUUUCAAACAAAUAUAGCUGCCUUUUCAGAUAUAAAUGUUUAUAAAUAGGUGCAUCUCCAACUGUUCUUUUUUUC
Molecule: RNA transcript, 1941 nt
Organism: Nymphaea colorata (pocket water lily)
Lineage: Eukaryota; Viridiplantae; Streptophyta; Magnoliopsida; Nymphaeales; Nymphaeaceae
Gene name: flavonoid 3',5'-hydroxylase 1-like
Exons: 4
Source: RefSeq, a predicted model, not a curated record